CCCUUAGAUGUUCUGGGCCGCACGCGCGCUACACUGACGAAUGCAACGAGCUUAUAACCUUGGCCGAAAGGUCUGGGUAAUCUCCAAAUUUCGUCGUGAUGGGGAUAGAUUAUUGCAAUUAUUAAUCUUCAACGAGGAAUGCCUAGUAAGCGCAAGUCAUCAGCUUGCGUUGAUUACGUCCCUGCCCUUUGUACACACCGCCCGUCGCUCCUACCGAUUGAAUGGUCCGGUGAAGCGUUCGGACCGUGGCCUUUGGACGGUUCGCCGUCUGUUGGCUGCGGAAAGUUUAGUGAACCUUAUCACUUAGAGGAAGGAGAAGUCGUAACA
Molecule: ribosomal RNA, 327 nt
Filed under: uncultured eukaryote
Lineage: Eukaryota
Description: partial 18S ribosomal RNA
Rfam family: Eukaryotic small subunit ribosomal RNA
Source: RNAcentral